AGUGAACGCUGGCGGUAGGCCUAACACAUGCAAGUCGAACGGCAGCACAGUAAGAGCUUGCUCUUACGGGUGGCGAGUGGCGGACGGGUGAGGCAUACAUCGGAAUCUACUUUUUCGUGGGGGAUAACGUAGGGAAACUGACGCUAAUACCGCAUACGACCUACGGGUGAAAGCAGGGGAUCUUCGGACCUUGCGCGAUUGAAUGAGCCGGUGUCGGAUUAGCUAGUUGGCGGGGUAAAGGCCCACCAAGGCGACGAUCCGUAGCUGGUCUGAGAGGAUGAUCGGCCACACUGGAACUGAGACACGGUCCAGACUCCUACGGGAGGCAGCAGUGGGGAAUAUUGGACAAUGGGCGCAAGCCUGAUCCAGCCACACCGCGUGGGUGAAGAAGGCCUUCGGGUUGUAAAGCCCUUUUGUUGGGAAAGAAAAGCAGCAGGAUAAUACCCCGCUGUUCUGACGGUACCCAAAGAAUAAGCACCGGCUAACUUCGUG
This 492-nucleotide ribosomal RNA is filed under the name uncultured bacterium. RNAcentral describes it as "partial 16S ribosomal RNA". It matches the Rfam family "Bacterial small subunit ribosomal RNA", at positions 29 to 507 of the family's 1533-position model. The record is from RNAcentral.